This 84-nucleotide transfer RNA is filed under the name Mucilaginibacter polytrichastri. It matches the Rfam family "tRNA". Rfam says of the family: Transfer RNA (tRNA) molecules are approximately 80 nucleotides in length. Lineage: Bacteria; Pseudomonadati; Bacteroidota; Sphingobacteriia; Sphingobacteriales; Sphingobacteriaceae. The record is from Rfam by way of RNAcentral.
GGGGGGAUUCCAGAGCGGCCAAAUGGAUCAGACUGUAAAUCUGCUGUUGUAAUGACUUCGGAGGUUCGAAUCCUCCUCCCCCCA